Molecule: transfer RNA, 75 nt
Filed under: candidate division TM7 genomosp. GTL1
Lineage: Bacteria; Candidatus Saccharimonadota
Rfam family: tRNA
About the family: Transfer RNA (tRNA) molecules are approximately 80 nucleotides in length. Their secondary structure includes four short double-helical elements and three loops (D, anti-codon, and T loops).
Source: Rfam by way of RNAcentral
GCGCCCGUAGCUCAGCUUGGAUAGAGCGUCGGUUUGCGGAACCGGAGGCCAUAGGUUCAAAUCCUGUCGGGCGUA